RNAcentral lists this transfer RNA (72 nucleotides) under Lunella aff. cinerea STW-2013. RNAcentral's name for it is "tRNA-Asn". Lineage: Eukaryota; Metazoa; Mollusca; Gastropoda; Trochida; Turbinidae. The record is from RNAcentral.
UAGGUAGAAGCCAAUUUUUGGGCGCCUAGCUGUUAAUUAGGAAGUUGUAACGAUAAAAGGUUACCUAUCUAG